This 209-nucleotide unclassified non-coding RNA is filed under the name Hevea brasiliensis (rubber tree). Lineage: Eukaryota; Viridiplantae; Streptophyta; Magnoliopsida; Malpighiales; Euphorbiaceae. The record is from RNAcentral.
GAAGGUACUCUGCUGCAUGAUCACCUGUAGCUGUUCUUGGUUCAAGAGGAACAUCUGACAACUUGGUUCUCACCAAAGAGGGGUGUCGAACAAGGGCCUUCUUGGUGGCAGAAGCUACUAAACGGCGAUCUCCAGCAAGAGGAUUAGGCGGUUUGCUGUUGCUGGAGCUCUCAUUUCCUCUGCUACAAUUAUCAAACAUCAAUUUACUU